CGGCGAGCGAACGGGGACCAGCCAAGCCAUGAGAGUGAAUAGAAUGUGCUGGAAAGCACAGCCAUAGCGGGUGACAGCCCCGUAUAUGAAGCUCGAUUGGAUGUAUUAAGUAGGGCGGGACACGUGAAAUCCUGUCUGAAGAUCGGAGGACCACCUUCGAAGGCUAAGUACUCCUUACUGACCGAUAGCGAACCAGUACCGUGAGGGAAAGGUGAAAAGCACCCCGACGAGGGGAGUGAAACAGUUUCUGAAACCGGACGCCUACAAGCAGUCGGAGCCUCCUUGAGAGGUGACGGCGUACCUUUUGUAUAAUGGGUCAGCGAGUUACGUU
RNAcentral lists this ribosomal RNA (331 nucleotides) under Scrippsiella trochoidea. RNAcentral describes it as "partial Bacterial large subunit ribosomal RNA". It matches the Rfam family "Bacterial large subunit ribosomal RNA", at positions 247 to 634 of the family's 2925-position model. Lineage: Eukaryota; Dinophyceae; Peridiniales; Peridiniaceae. The record is from RNAcentral.